Molecule: ribosomal RNA, 497 nt
Filed under: uncultured bacterium
Lineage: Bacteria
Description: partial 16S ribosomal RNA
Rfam family: Bacterial small subunit ribosomal RNA
Source: RNAcentral
GAUGAACGCUGGCGGCGUGCCUAAUACAUGCAAGUCGAGCGAACGGACGAGAAGCUUGCUUCUCUGAUGUUAGCGGCGGACGGGUGAGUAACACGUGGAUAACCUACCUAUAAGACUGGGAUAACUUCGGGAAACCGUAGCUAAUACCGGAUAAUAUUUUGAACCGCAUGGUUCAAAAGUGAAAGACGGUCUUGCUGUCACUUAUAGAUGGAUCCGCGCUGCAUUAGCUAGUUGGUAAGGUAACGGCUUACCAAGGCAACGAUGCAUAGCCGACCUGAGAGGUUGAUCGGCCACACUGGAACUGAGACACGGUCCAGACUCCUACGGGAGGCAGCAGUAGGGAAUCUUCCGCAAUGGGCGAAAGCCUGACGGAGCAACGCCGCGUGAGUGAUGAAGGUCUUCGGAUCGUAAAACUCUGUUAUUAGGGAAGAACAUAUGUGUAAGUAACUGUGCACAUCUUGACGGUACCUAAUCAGAAAGCCACGGCUAACUACGUG